UACGAAGGGUGCAAGCGUUACUCGGAAUUACUGGGCGUAAAGCGUGCGUAGGUGGUUUUUUUAAGUCCGUUGUGAAAGCCCUGGGCUCAACCUGGGAAUGGCAGUGGAUACUGGAAAGCUAGAGUGCGGUAGAGGGUAGUGGGAAUUCCCGGUGUAGCAGUGAAAUGCGUAGAUAUCGGGAGGAACACCAAUGGCUAAAGCAGGCACCUGGGCCUUUACUGACGCUGAGGCGCGAAAGCUAGGGGAGCAAACAGGGAU
RNAcentral lists this ribosomal RNA (258 nucleotides) under uncultured bacterium. RNAcentral describes it as "partial 16S ribosomal RNA". It matches the Rfam family "Bacterial small subunit ribosomal RNA", at positions 524 to 779 of the family's 1533-position model. The record is from RNAcentral.